Molecule: long non-coding RNA, 421 nt
Filed under: Setaria viridis
Lineage: Eukaryota; Viridiplantae; Streptophyta; Magnoliopsida; Poales; Poaceae
Description: long non-coding RNA (SVIR_LNC003435)
Source: RNAcentral
GUGUGUGGAGAGGGUGUAUGUAUACUCAUAUAUUUUUAUACAUGCUAUAAUGUAUAUGCAUACAUGAGCAUACAUUGUAUGGGUGGUGUUAGUGACUAACAUAUCGAAAUCUCUACACAAGCAAAAGCAAUACAUUAACAAAACAAGCAAUCAAACAAAGAACCUAAUGGUCGCGCCGGGAGGAAAACAAGGAUUUAAUUUUAGAAGAAUUUUGGUGGAAGAAUCAUCGGUACUAGAGUUUGCAUGGGAGAGAUAUGAUUUUUGGGAGUUUAUAGGGAAUUUCUGGGAUUUAUCAGGGUUUAUAUGAGGUGACAAAUAUUUUCCCAGAAUUUUUGGAUGAUGGAAAAGAGGUGCAAAAGGUCUGGGUAGGUUCCAGGGUGGCUCUAGUAUUUUGAAAGUUUCUAGGAAUUUUUGUGUGAAG